UGGGCGAGAGCCUGAACCAGCCAAGUAGCGUGCAGGAUGACGGCCCUAUGGGUUGUAAACUGCUUUUAUGCGGGGAUAAAGUGAGGGACGUGUCCUUCAUUGCAGGUACCGCAUGAAUAAGGACCGGCUAAUUCCGUGCCAGCAGCCGCGGUAAUACGGAAGGUCCGGGCGUUAUCCGGAUUUAUUGGGUUUAAAGGGAGCGUAGGCCGUGGAUUAAGCGUGUUGUGAAAUGCAGGUGCUCAACGUCUGCACUGCAGCGCGAACUGGUCCACUUGAGUGUGCGCAACGCAGGCGGAAUUCGUCGUGUAGCGGUGAAAUGCUUAGAUAUGACGAAGAACUCCGAUUGCGAAGGCAGCUUGCGGGAGCACAACUGACGCUGAAGCUCGAAAGUGCGGGUAUCGAACAGGAUUAGAUACCCUGGUAGUCCGCACGGUAAACGAUGGAUGCCCGUUGUCAGGCUGUUUCAGCCUGGUGACCAAGCGAAAGCAUUAAGCAUCCCACCUGGGGAGUACGCCGGCAACGGUGAAACUCAAAGGAAUUGACGGGGGCCCGCACAAGCGGAGGAACAUGUGGUUUAAUUCGAUGAUACGCGAGGAACCUUACCCGGGCUUGAAUUGCAGACGAAGGCUUCAGAGAUGAAGCGGCCCUUCGGGGCGUCUGUGAAGGUGCUGCAUGGUUGUCGUCAGCUCGUGCCGUGAGGUGUCGGCUUAAGUGCCAUAACGAGCGCAACCCCUUUCUUCAGUUGCCAUCAGGUGAUGCUGGGCACUCUGGAGACACUGCCACCGCAAGGUGUGAGGAAGGUGGGGAUGACGUCAAAUCAGCACGGCCCUUACGUCCGGGGCUACACACGUGUUACAAUGGCCGGUACAGAGAGUUGAUUUUGUGCAAACACGAUCUAAU
This 900-nucleotide ribosomal RNA is filed under the name uncultured bacterium. RNAcentral's name for it is "bacterial SSU rRNA". It matches the Rfam family "Bacterial small subunit ribosomal RNA", at positions 372 to 1272 of the family's 1533-position model. The record is from RNAcentral.